UUUUGGACGGCUGGCCCCAAAUGGCGGCUGCAAUCAACCUUGCGGAAAAUUGCUCGAUUGCGGCCACCAAUGCAAGGCCGUGUGCCACUUGGACACCACGUGUUCCAAGAUUGACUGCAAUGGGCCUUGUUUCCGGCUCUGCAAUGCAAGACAGCACCGCUGCCCUUCUGAGUGUCACGUCAAAUGCGAAUCAAACUGCAUGGUCAAGGUCAGCAAAUACCUGAAGUGCAGAGUGCACACCAUUGAGGUUGAGUGCAAGAUAGACGUCUGGACCGUGAAAUGCACAAAUCCAUGCACAAAGCUGAAAAAAGGGUGUCGUUCGAACCACAAAUGUCCAAAGCUGUGCCACGAAGAAUGCGACCUUUGUUUGAAGAAGAGCACAGUCAAGCUUGCAUGUGGACACUUGGUUACGGUUAUCUGCUGCAAGCCAAUCCCUACUUGCCUAGAGAAAUUUAGGGGGCCGAAACAUAAAGGCUUUUUACGAAAAAUACACCAAGGGCGAGGAACAAGUGAUUGUCGUGAGAACCUGUGGUCACAUCCUGUUCAAGAAAUGCUACUAAUACGUUCCAGAUGGUUCCUACUGCUUUGAAAUUUGUUCAAAGAAACUGGACUGCGGGCAUGUGUGUCAAAAGUACUGCUACAGAAGUUGUAGGCACUGCAGACCGUGCAUGCUCUCUUCAAUAGUCAACCUCCUCGCAUUUUGGAGAUGGACAAAUUAUUAAAAUUUCUACAAGAAAUUUAAACAACCAUUAGUUUAUAUAAUUAUUAUACGACUUAUUUUUUUCUUCAAAUUUCUACCAGCAAAAUUUUGAUGAUGUAGAUUAAACAGGAAAUAAAAAUAUCACUCUUUAUACACUAUACACAUCUAAAAUUUCCGUUUAUUUUGAUUCAAAGAUUGCACAUCCAUAUGUGUUACUUCCAAAUGAGUAUUGCGAUCAUAAUCACACCACUGACAAACAAGCCGGCGGCGCUGGCAUCCAAAAUAUACAUAUUUUUAUCGCAAUGCCAGCAAAAGGUGGCACCUGGUUCAUGACACUCGCCACUGCAACGCCUACAAGAGGUGGCGCAAGCCUCGUGGCACUUCUUGCUGCAACUGUGUCCGCACUGCAUCGGCAGGCCGCACUCUUCCUCGCAAUCUGAGUCGGGGCUCCAGUCACUGCAGACGAUUUCUUUGCUGUGCCUGCCGCAGGAAAAAGUGACCACGCGCACCUCUGGGCAAGGUAAGCAAGGCAAGUUGCAGAGGAGUCUGCAGCGGUGGAGACCGGCCCCAUUUUAUUUAACAGGAUAAAACAUCUUUCUUCUGCAAAAUAUUUUUCCUUGCCACGUUCCCUUUCAAAAUUUUAGUCGUAUAUGUACAGUGACACUUCAGUUUUGAUAAUGCAAUUUUUACAAUAGGAUAAAACUUAGUUCCAGGAAAAGCGUUAACUUCAAGAUAACCCAACAAUAUUAAAUUUGCAAAAUCUUAGUAUUUGUACAUAUAUACUAUUAAGCUACAUAAAUAUACAUACAGUAUCAUGACGUUAAUAUAUUAAAUUUUUGUUCUGUGAUUCCCAGUCGAUUUUGAAGUAAUAAAAUAAUAUUUUUAACUUCAGGUUUUGGACCGUAGCAUGGUUGAAAAUCGUGGACUCCACAAGGGGUAUCGGUGUGAUGGGCCCUGAGAGUCAGGCCCACCAAGUGGUGCACUCAUAGCUUUGCUCCUUAUAUUGGUUGGCCUGCUUCAGGAAGCGACGAGACAGCAGCAGCUCCUUAACUAGGUGGUUUUCAUCUUUUUUCUGGUGCGUA
Cloeon dipterum is the source of this 1782-nucleotide long non-coding RNA. RefSeq lists it as uncharacterized. NCBI's taxonomy places the organism in Eukaryota, Metazoa, Arthropoda, Insecta, Ephemeroptera, Baetidae. The transcript is spliced from 3 exons. The record is from RefSeq and is a predicted model, not a curated record.